UACAGAGGUCCCAAGCGUUGUUCGGAUUCACUGGGCGUAAAGGGUGCGUAGGUGGUAGGGUAAGUCGGAUGUGAAAGCUCGGAGCUCAACUCCGAAAUGGCAUUGGAAACUACCCAACUAGAGGGUCGGAGGGGGGACUGGAAUUCUUGGUGUAGCAGUGAAAUGCGUAGAUAUCAAGAGGAACACCAGUGGCGAAGGCGAGUCCCUGGACGACUCCUGACACUGAGGCACGAAAGCUAGGGGAGCAAACAGG
Molecule: ribosomal RNA, 253 nt
Filed under: uncultured bacterium
Lineage: Bacteria
Description: partial 16S ribosomal RNA
Rfam family: Bacterial small subunit ribosomal RNA
Source: RNAcentral